GGAAUAUUGGACAAUGGGGGCAACCCUGAUCCAGCAAUGCCGCGUGUGUGAAGAAGGCCUGCGGGUUGUAAAGCACUUUCAGUGGGGAGGAAGACCUCGUUGUUAAUACCAGCGAGUGAUGACGUUACCCACAGAAGACUCACCGGCUAACUCUGUGCCAGCAGCCGCGGUAAUACAGAGGGUGCAAGCGUUAAUCGGAAUUACUGGGCGUAAAGCGCACGUAGGUGGAUAAUCAGGUUGGAUGUGAAAGCCCCGGGCUUAACUCGGGAAUGCCAUUCAAAACCGAUUGUCUAGAGUACAGUAGAGGAAAGUGGAAUUUCCGGUGUAGCGGUGAAAUGCGUAGAUAUCGGAAGGAACACCAGUGGCGAAGGCGACUUUCUGGACUGAUACUGACACUGAGGUGCGAAAGCGUGGGGAGCAA
Molecule: ribosomal RNA, 421 nt
Filed under: uncultured bacterium
Lineage: Bacteria
Description: bacterial SSU rRNA
Rfam family: Bacterial small subunit ribosomal RNA
Source: RNAcentral